Long non-coding RNA from Tribolium castaneum (red flour beetle), 744 nucleotides. RefSeq lists it as uncharacterized. The record is from RefSeq and is a predicted model, not a curated record. The transcript is spliced from 3 exons. Lineage: Eukaryota; Metazoa; Arthropoda; Insecta; Coleoptera; Tenebrionidae.
CUUGCCGACAUUAAUUUAUCACGAGCAUUUUACGAUUAAUUUUUUCCUUUGACGAUUAAUUACUAUUCCUCACCAUCUGGCAGGGCAUCCGGAAGACUUACCUGGAACAAAUAAAAAAAUUACAAUAGGGCACUUGGUUAGGUAAAAUGACUGAAGUAACAAACUAGAUUGGUCACGAUGUUUAUAUGUCAUUGUGGACGAGCUUCGACAUUUCGUCAAGUCAUCUUCAAUCUACAAUGCUGAUGGUGUGUGACGAAUAGAAUUUUAAAUUCGACGUGUGGGCUGAUUAAGUGGCGAAGAGAACAAUUAGGCACUAAAAACCAUUAGCAUACGACAAUAUUUCAUAUUACUAUUAUUGAAUUAUCACACGAGUUUUUUUUCCAACUUCAGACCUUGCAUGCUGUUAAGACUUGUCAUGGGUGUGCCGCGCAAUGUCAUACAUGACGACAGGUACCAAUCUAUAUGCUUUUAAUAUGUUAUACAGCUAUUAAGCCUUUAAAUGAACUAUUAUUACAUAUGGAUACAUCAUCAAACAACUUGCCAAUAUACAGGUUGUGCAAUGGGCCAUGAACCAUCACUCAGUACUUCCCCUUCAUCUCUUCAUUAGACGCAAACCUCUAUCCCUUCAAGGAUUUUUAAGCGCAAUUCGAUUCCCAAGUAUGUAUAUAUUACUAUUUUCAGAAUGUUAUUUUAAUAAAAAUAAAUAAAUUAUGCAUAUUCCCGAAGAUCGAAGUGUUAAACAAA